ACAAUUUACGUGAUGAUAACCUUACUCAGCUCACUCAGAUUAUCCGUGAUCGAAAGCAUUUCCUAUCCAACAUUCAUCAAAAUAUCUGAUCAAAAUUGU
RNAcentral lists this small nucleolar RNA (99 nucleotides) under Kluyveromyces lactis. The record is from RNAcentral. Lineage: Eukaryota; Fungi; Ascomycota; Saccharomycetes; Saccharomycetales; Saccharomycetaceae.